RNAcentral lists this ribosomal RNA (492 nucleotides) under uncultured bacterium. RNAcentral's name for it is "partial 16S ribosomal RNA". It matches the Rfam family "Bacterial small subunit ribosomal RNA", at positions 29 to 507 of the family's 1533-position model. The record is from RNAcentral.
AGUGAACGCUGGCGGUAGGCCUAACACAUGCAAGUCGAACGGCAGCACAGUAGAAGCUUGCUCUUACGGGUGGCGAGUGGCGGACGAGUGAGGAAUACAUCGGAAUCUACUUUUUCGUGGGGGAUAACGUAGGGAAACUUACGCUAAUACCGCAUACGACCUACGGGUGAAAGCAGGGGAUCUUCGGACCUUGCGCGAUUGAAUGAGCCGAUGUCGGAUUAGCUAGUUGGCGGGGUAAAGGCCCACCAAGGCGACGAUCCGUAGCUGGUCUGAGAGGAUGAUCAGCCACACUGGAACUGAGACACGGUCCAGACUCCUACGGGAGGCAGCAGUGGGGAAUAUUGGACAAUGGGCGCAAGCCUGAUCCAGCCAUACCGCGUGGGUGAAGAAGGCCUUCGGGUUGUAAAGCCCUUUUGUUGGGAAAGAAAAGCAGCAGGUUAAUACCCCGCUGUUCUGACGGUACCCAAAGAAUAAGCACCGGCUAACUUCGUG